RNAcentral lists this ribosomal RNA (469 nucleotides) under uncultured bacterium. RNAcentral's name for it is "partial 16S ribosomal RNA". It matches the Rfam family "Bacterial small subunit ribosomal RNA", at positions 28 to 507 of the family's 1533-position model. The record is from RNAcentral.
GAUGAACGCUGGCGGCGUGCUUAACACAUGCAAGUCGAACGGAAAGGCCCUGCUUGCCGGGUGUUCGCGUGGCGAACGGGUGAGUAACACGUGGGUGAGCUGCCCCCUACUUUGGGAUAAGCGCGGGAGACUGUGUGUAUAACUGCGUAGGGCCAUGCUGUUGGUGGUGUGGUGGGGAGAUUUGUUUCGGUUGGGGUUGAGGGCGCGGCCAUUCAGUUUUUUGGUGGGGUAUUGGCUGACCAAGGCGUCGACGGGUAGCCGGCCGGGGGGGGUGGCCGGCGACAUUAUGACUGAGAUGCGACGCAGCAGCCUACGAGAGGCAGCAGUGGGGGAUAUUGUACAAUAGGGGCAGGCCGGAUGCAGCGGCGCCGCGUGGGGGGUGACGGCCUUCGGGUGGUAAACACCUUUCGGCGAUGACGAAGAAGUUGUGGUGACGGUAGUGGUAGAAGAAGCACCGGCUAACUACGUG